This is a non-coding RNA of Podarcis lilfordi (Lilford's wall lizard), 92 nucleotides long. The record is from the annotation of a GenBank genome assembly. Lineage: Eukaryota; Metazoa; Chordata; Lepidosauria; Squamata; Lacertidae.
GGUCUCCAGAUGUUGUUGAACUACAACUCCCAUCACCCCUAGCUAGCAUCAGGGAUGAUGGGAGUUGAAGUUCAACAACAUCUGGGGACCCA